This 789-nucleotide ribosomal RNA is filed under the name marine metagenome. RNAcentral describes it as "bacterial SSU rRNA". It matches the Rfam family "Bacterial small subunit ribosomal RNA", at positions 596 to 1384 of the family's 1533-position model. The record is from RNAcentral.
GAAAACCAGAAGCUCAACUUCUGGCCUGCAGUGGGUACGGGCAAACUAGAGUGCGGUAGGGGAGAACGGAAUUCCUGGUGUAGCGGUGGAAUGCGCAGAUAUCAGGAGGAACACCGAUGGCGAAGGCAGUUCUCUGGGCCGUUACUGACGCUGAGGAGCGAAAGCGUGGGGAGCGAACAGGAUUAGAUACCCUGGUAGUCCACGCCGUAAACGGUGGGUGCUAGCUGUGGGCCACAUUCCACGUGGUCCGUGACGAAGUUAACACAUUAAGCACCCCGCCUGGGGAGUACGGCCGCAAGGCUAAAACUCAAAGGAAUUGACGGGGGCCCGCACAAGCGGCGGAGCAUGCGGAUUAAUUCGAUGCAACGCGAAGAACCUUACCAAGGCUUGACAUAUAGAGGAAAAGUACAGAAAUGUGCUCCCCGUAAGGUCUCUAUACAGGUGGUGCAUGGUUGUCGUCAGCUCGUGUCGUGAGAUGUUGGGUUAAGUCCCGCAACGAGCGCAACCCUCGUCCUAUGUUGCCAGCACGUUAUGGUGGGAACUCAUGGGAUACUGCCGGGGUCAACUCGGAGGAAGGUGGGGAUGACGUCAAAUCAUCAUGCCCCUUAUGUCUUGGGCUUCACGCAUGCUACAAUGGCCGGUACAGAGGGCUGCAAUACCGUAAGGUGGAGCGAAUCCCAAAAAGCCGGUCUCAGUUCGGAUUGAGGUCUGCAACUCGACCUCAUGAAGUCGGAGUCGCUAGUAAUCGUAGAUCAGCAACGCUACGGUGAAUACGUUCCCGGGCCUUGU